CAUUACCUGUCAGCCUGCAGAGAGUGAACACAGAUGUGCCGGUUGAAACAAGAGCCGAGGGAGCCGAGUGGAUACACCUAGUGGAGCACAGGAUGCUGACCUUGCUGGCAUUUAAAAGGAGGGAGUUGUAUACUUUUCUCAGAAAAGUUGGAUGAACUUCAGACCACCCUGCCCAAGUCCCAUCUGGUGUAUCGGAGCCCAAUCCGUGCCAAAGGAGGAUAAAUCUGAAGGAUCACGAUGUUUCAGGCCGCAGACAGAGAGCAGGCUGACAGGAGAACUCAAGCCAGGUGAACGCGCAUCACGUCUACACAAUCUGGCACGGUACUUUGAAUAAAAAAAAAUGAAAAACGCCUGCCAAGGACGACGUAGCAACAACUCGGGAGUCGAGUCAGCGGGGUCACACUUGUUCAUCAGCUUUUAGACCUCCGCGGAAACUCAAAGCCAAACAGAGAAACGUCUUGGCAUGUGUGAGCGUUACAGAUGACGAUGCUUCUUCGGCGGAGGCCCAGCGCGCCUCCACCUUUUUCAGGUGUCACGGAGCCUUUCCAUCAUCCAGUUUGUGCGGGAUUAGAACAAUCUGGUUUACAUAUAUUUGCUCCAGUGGUUCCAAACCAAAGUCCUGUUGGACAGAACAAUGCCCCCCAACAGGACUAACAUGCUAGAAUGAAAG
Oryzias melastigma (Indian medaka) is the source of this 670-nucleotide long non-coding RNA. RefSeq lists it as uncharacterized. The record is from RefSeq and is a predicted model, not a curated record. The transcript is spliced from 3 exons. NCBI's taxonomy places the organism in Eukaryota, Metazoa, Chordata, Actinopteri, Beloniformes, Adrianichthyidae.